Molecule: ribosomal RNA, 1116 nt
Filed under: uncultured marine eukaryote
Lineage: Eukaryota
Description: bacterial SSU rRNA
Rfam family: Eukaryotic small subunit ribosomal RNA
Source: RNAcentral
GGAUCUCCAAUAGCCGCAGUGUAGUAUAACGCCUUUAUACUGUAAAACUGCGAACGGCUCAUUAUAUCAGUUAUAGUUUAUUUGAUACUUUUUGACUAUUGGAUAACCGUAGUAAUUCUAGAGCUAAUACAUGCUUACAGUCCCAACUUUUUGGAGGGAUGUAUUUAUUAGAUUUCAAUCAACAUUUUUUGCUGACUCAUGAUAACUUAGCGGAUCGCAGAGGCCUCGUGCCGGCGACAAAUCAUUCAAGUUUCUGCCCUAUCAGCUUUCGAUGGUAGUGUAUUGGACUACCAUGGCAUUAACGGGUAACGGAGGAUUAGGGUUCGAUUCCGGAGAGGGAGCCUGAGAAAUGGCUACCACAUCCAAGGAAGGCAGCAGGCGCGUAAAUUACCCAAUCCUAAUUCAGGGAGGUAGUGACAAUAAAUAUCGAUGCGGGGCCCUUUGUGGUCUUGCAAUCGGAAUGAGAACAAUUUAAAUCCCUUAACGAGGAUCAAUUGGAGGGCAAGUCUGGUGCCAGCAGCCGCGGUAAUUCCAGCUCCAAUAGCGUAUAUUAAUGUUGUUGCAGUUAAAAAGCUCGUAGUUGGAUUUCUGCGUGGCGCAACUCGGUCCGCCGCACUGCGGUGCGACUGCGGUUGGAGCCUCGCUUCUUUGUGGGGACUACUUGUGCCAUUAAUUUGGUGUAUUUAGGAACUGCAUCGUUUACUGUGAAAAAAUUAGAGUGUUCAAAGCAGGCUUAUGCCGUGAAUACAUUAGCAUGGAAUAAUAAGAUAGGACUUUGGUUCUAUUUUGUUGGUUGGAGGCCAAGGUAAUGAUUAAUAGGGAUAGUUGGGGGUAUUCAUAUUUAAUUGUCAGAGGUGAAAUUCUUGGAUUUAUGAAAGAUGAACUUAUGCGAAAGCAUUUACCAAGGAUGUUUUCAUUAAUCAAGAACGAAAGUUAGGGGAUCGAAGAGGAUUAGAUACCCUCGUAGUCUUAACCAUAAACUAUGCCGACUCGGGAUUGGAAGGUGUACAUUAAAAGACCCUUUCAGCACCGUAUGAGAAAUCAAAGUCUUUGGGUUCCGGGGGGAGUAUGGUCGCAAGGCUGAAACUAAAGGAAUGACGGAAGGCCCCCGAGUCC